UGUCUUCUUUUGAAACACCGAUCUUUGUUGAAAAGCUCGUGAAUAUAACCAGAAGAUUUAUUUUUUUCAGCGAAGAAGGCAAAGAAGAAGCGGUGAAAAGAGGAAUCUAAAUGGGGAGUGGCGCAUUUUGGCCGUCCGUCAAAUCCUUUGCUCCGAUUACUUCGGUUUCUUCUCUGAUCCCUUUCAUCCGGGUAUAAAAUGCGGCUGCGGGGAAACGCUAGGCGGAGGAUAAGCGAAUCAAUUUCGUCUUAUGCGACCAAUAACUUGGAGUCAUCACAAAAAAAUUAAAGUUUUGAAGAUUUAAGCUUAAUACAUAGAUAAUCCUGAUUAUAAUAGAUAAGCGAAUAAUUUUAUAUGAAUGCACAUUGUAAACAAAUAAUACAUAGAUAAUCCUGAUUAUAAUGAUUAUAACCAGAAAAUAAAUUUUUUGUAUCUAUAAUAUGAAUGUAUAUUACAACCAGAUAAUACAUCAUAGGUUCGAAUUAAGUUAUUAUAAAGACGAAGCAAUAUGGACGUGUUAGCUUUUAUCCAGAUAUUACAAAAACAAACUCAGUAAUUUUGGAGUGCUUCAAAUAACGAAGAAACCUAAUUAAAAACAUCAAAUAAAAAUCUAAUUAACCAAAAAAUACUUAACCUAAACCUAACUAACCAAAACCUAAUUAACCCUAAACCUAAUCUCUUUGCUGCAGCCUCCUACUUCCUCCUUUGCCUCUCUUCUCGAUGUCUUCCUCUGUUCUGAGAGAGAGAGAGAGAGAGAGAGAGAGAGAGAGAGAGAGA
Long non-coding RNA from Brassica napus (rape), 777 nucleotides. RefSeq lists it as uncharacterized. NCBI's taxonomy places the organism in Eukaryota, Viridiplantae, Streptophyta, Magnoliopsida, Brassicales, Brassicaceae. The record is from RefSeq and is a predicted model, not a curated record. The transcript is spliced from 2 exons.